This is a long non-coding RNA of Ursus maritimus (polar bear), 1704 nucleotides long. NCBI's taxonomy places the organism in Eukaryota, Metazoa, Chordata, Mammalia, Carnivora, Ursidae. The record is from Ensembl.
CAGGGCCAGACAUAGAUGACUGGGAAAAUGCUGGGAGACUAUGAGCCCUUUCCAGCCCUGCUGAAGAUUGCUGCCAGUGCAGCCACCUCCUUAUUAAAGCAUCGGUUUCCAGAAAAGCCUCGUUUACAAUGCAUGUUACCUGUGAAAAGUAGGUAACAAGUUACCUAUGAGAACUUAUCAUGGGAGAUUUGGUGGGAAGUUUGGAGGAAGAGGGGCUUUUCUGACCCCUCCUCAUUAGACAGGACAUGCCUGGUUUGGGCACAGUUAUGAAAAGUAUGAAGCAGCCAGCAGUGGUCACGAGACAUUAUGUGCCUAGUAAGACGAGGCAGUGGGUUUGCCAGAAGAAAAUCCGUUCUGCCGAAGGUGAAGCUUAAUUCAUCUUACACACGUCCAAAAAGAGGCUCAGAGGAUAACAUGUUUGCUGAGGAUGCCAACGCCAAUCACCAGACUAGAGCUGUCUAGACAGAGCACUGUGACUGCAGACUUUAAACAUUUCAUUUAUUUUCUUUCUAGCCUGGUAAGGGUAAGACACGUCUCAUUAUUACGAAUCAAUUAUAUUGUCGGAAGAAUGAAAGCCAUCAAAGGUAUCUUGCUCUGCCACCUAGUGGUGAGCUUUCACCUGCCUGUUACGGAGACAAGACUGAUGGCUCGCUGUCCAGGGCCAGCUCCAGGAACGUCGCGCGGGUGUCUACGGGGAUGGCUUGGACACGGGUUCUGUCCUCCAGACAAGGAUGAAGAGGAAUGGGAGCACCGGAGGACGUGGAACAUGAAAGAGCCUUGAUAAUCUCACACGGGAGGAAUUGGAGGCCUAAGUGCUGAGAGAACCACUCCACACCGUGAGUGACCACAUGGCACGUCUCCGUCCAUUCACGUUGUUAUAACAAAACUCCAUAGAGAGGGGGGGCUUCUAAACAGCAAUCAUUUAUUUCUCACAGUUUGGAGGCCAGAAGUCUGCAAUCAGGGCCCUUUCCCUGGUUCACAGCUGGUACCUUCUUGUGUGCUCACGUUGUGGAAGGGGGUAGGGAGCUCUAUGGGGCCCCUAUUAUGAAGGCACUAACCCCAUUCAUGAGGGCUCUACUCUCAUGACCUAAGCACCUCCCAGGGCUCCACCUCCUGAUGCCAUCAUCUUGGACGUUAGGAAUCCAGCAUAGGAAUUUGGCAAGGACACAAACAUUCAGGCCAGAGCACAGGAUAGGCCCCCAUCUCCGUGUCCCUGGCCCUGUGUACCUCCCCUCCUUGGUCACUUUUCCGUCCCCUUCUCUCUCUGGCCAGCUCUUUCACACUCCCCGCCAUCUGGUCACAUUCUGUGUACAGUAUGUAUUUAAUUAUUGGAGUAGAAGGCACUGUAAGCCAUGCCAGUUAUUAAAAUUUUAGGGCUGUGGGAAAAACCCUGACUUGGACUCAGCGUACCUGGCCAUCAGACCUGACUCUGAGACUGACUUCUAUGGCUGGAGAAGGGAGACAGUGUCAUCUGCUCUGCUUACCUCUCUGGGUGGGUCAUGUUCAAAUGAGACAAUAGGGGCGCCUGGGUGGCUAGUCGGUUAAGCGUCUGCCUUCGGCUCAGGGCCCUGGGAUCAAGUCCCACAUCGGGCUCCUUGCUCAGUAGGGAGCCUGCUUCUCCCUCUGCCUGCCACUCCCCCUGCUUGUGCUUUUUCUCUCUCUCUCUCUCUGACAAAUAAAUAAAAUCUUUUUUAAAAUGAGACA